GAGUUUGAUCCUGGCUCAGGACGAACGCUGGCGGCAUGCCUAACACAUGCAAGUCGAGCGAGUUGAUCCCUUCGGGGUGAAGCUAGCGGCGGACGGGUGAGUAACACGUGGGCAACCUGCCUCAUAGAGGGGAAUAGCCUCCCGAAAGGGAGAUUAAUACCGCAUAAGAUUGUAGCUUCGCAUGAAGUAGCAAUUAAAGGAGCAAUCCGCUAUGAGAUGGGCCCGCGGCGCAUUAGCUAGUUGGUGAGGUAACGGCUCACCAAGGCGACGAUGCGUAGCCGACCUGAGAGGGUGAUCGGCCACAUUGGGACUGAGACACGGCCCAGACUCCUACGGGAGGCAGCAGUGGGGAAUAUUGCACAAUGGGGGAAACCCUGAUGCAGCAAUGCCGCGUGAGUGAUGACGGCCUUCGGGUUGUAAAGCUCUGUCUUCAGGGACGAUAAUGACGGUACCUGAGGAGGAAGCCACGGCUAACUACGUGCCAGCAGCCGCGGUAAUACGUAGGUGGCAAGCGUUGUCCGGAUUUACUGGGCGUAAAGGGAGCGUAGGCGGAUUUUUAAGUGAGAUGUGAAAUACCCGGGCUUAACUUGGGUGCUGCAUUUCAAACUGGAAGUCUAGAGUGCAGGAGAGGAGAAGGGAAUUCCUAGUGUAGCGGUGAAAUGCGUAGA
This 668-nucleotide ribosomal RNA is filed under the name uncultured bacterium. RNAcentral describes it as "bacterial SSU rRNA". It matches the Rfam family "Bacterial small subunit ribosomal RNA", at positions 9 to 694 of the family's 1533-position model. The record is from RNAcentral.